Acanthosepion pharaonis is the source of this 112-nucleotide non-coding RNA. The record is from the annotation of a GenBank genome assembly. NCBI's taxonomy places the organism in Eukaryota, Metazoa, Mollusca, Cephalopoda, Sepiida, Sepiidae.
UAUGGCCAAAUCUUGUUGAAACACCAGUUCCUGUACAAUUACCAAAGUUAAGCAACAUCGAGCCUAGCCAGUACCUAGAUGGGUAACCACUUGAGAAUACCAGGUGCUGUAA